UACGAAGGGGGCUAGCGUUGCUCGGAAUCACUGGGCGUAAAGGGCGCGUAGGCGGCCUGGCAAGUGGAAGGUGAAAUCCCUCGGCUUAACCGAGGAACUGCCUUCCAAACUGCUUGGCUUGAGUCCGGGAGAGGUGAGUGGAAUUCCCAGUGUAGCGGUGAAAUGCGUAGAUAUUGGGAGGAACACCAGUGGCGAAGGCGGCUCACUGGACCGGAACUGACGCUGAUGCGCGAAAGCGUGGGGAGCAAACGGG
This 253-nucleotide ribosomal RNA is filed under the name uncultured bacterium. RNAcentral describes it as "partial 16S ribosomal RNA". It matches the Rfam family "Bacterial small subunit ribosomal RNA", at positions 524 to 776 of the family's 1533-position model. The record is from RNAcentral.